UAAAAAACGUUGAAAAAAAUUAAAAAAAAAAUAAAAAACCUGAAUAAACUAAGUUUUAGGUGAUCUUUCAAUAAUAAAGGGAUUCUUGGGGUAAAACAUUGAGAACUACUCUAUUUAGUACUUAGAAAAAAAAAAAAUUAAGAGGCGCCCAAAAGGGAUUGUGGGAGAAAGCUCUUUUUCUUUCCAUCUGGCAGCAGCCAUUUCACUCAAAGGUCAACCAAGAUGGGCGCUUACACGUACAUCCUGGAGCUAUGGAGAAAGACACAGUCUGAUGUAAUGCGCUUUAUUCUCAGUACUGCCAGUUACUCUGCGCUUUACAGGGUACCCCAUUCAGCCCGGCGUGCUAAAGCCCCCAGACUGGGAUACAAUGCCAAGCAAGGUUAUGUCAUGUAUCGGAUUCACGUGCACUGCGGUGACUACAAAUGCCCAGUUCCUGAAGGUGCAACCUAUGGCAAGCCUGUCCAUCAUGGUGUUAACCAGCUAAAGUUUGCCCCAAGUCUUCACUCUUGCCUAGGAAUAAGCUGGAUGCCACCAUGGGGCUCUGAGAGUCCUGAUUUUUUACUGGAUUGGUGAAGAUCCCACGUACGAAUUCUUUGAGGUUAUCCCCAUUGAUCCAUUACAUAAAGCUGUGAGAAGAAAUCCCAACACUCACUGGAUCAGCAAACUAGCUCUCAAACAGGGAGAUUCAAGAAUUGACCUGUAGGCCCCAAGAGACAUGGCCUUGGAAAGGGUCACAAGUUCCACAUGAGGCAGCUUGGAGAAGACGCAGUACCCUCCAGCUCCACUGUUACUGCUAAUCCAUAAAGGAGGCAGAAAAAUUUUCACCAAUCCUUGCAGUAUUCAUUAAAAUAAGAAUUUUCACCAUGGCCAUGACAAGAACCCUAAAUAAUUCCAUGGCCCAGAGUUGUGCUUUCCUGAAGUUAGGAUCCCAGACAGGCCUGAUUCUUCAGCAAUUCUGGUCUUCUGCUGAGUAGGAGCAUUAGUCAAGGCCUGAAGGAGGAGGAAACAAUUAUCUCCUGAGAAAGCCUUCUGUAAUCUGGAACACCACAGAUUUCUCAGAAUGGGAGUUGAGAUCAGAGUGUCUCCUGGUUCUUGAUGAAACAAUUCAGUCCAAUCAAGGACACACACCUGGAAAAAUGACUGGCUUCUGGAAACAGUGUUAUUCUGGUAUUUAGGAAUAACCCAGCUGUUGAGCACCAGGAAAUAAGCUUCAAUCAACUAUAUUUCUUGUUAAAUGCUAGAGACUCAUUAGAUAAUAAUUCUGUUUCAAUAAUAGUAACGACAGAGCAUUUAUUGAGUGCUUAUUUCAAGGCAGGCACUUGAUAUUCAUUAUAUUAUUGAAGAUUUUUAUUUGGCAUUUUAUAUUACUUCCUCUGCCCUGCCAGCUGAUGUACACAGAAAUCUGCCCCAAUAUCUGUUGGGGUCCUGAUUAAGUCUGAGAAAAUUCUGUUGUAAAUAAGCCACAAAAGAUUUUAUCUUUGAUCCUUUCCUCUGUAUUCUGUAUUAAAAAAAAAAAAGUUCAGAAAUA
Long non-coding RNA from Prionailurus viverrinus (fishing cat), 1528 nucleotides. RefSeq lists it as uncharacterized. The record is from RefSeq and is a predicted model, not a curated record. The transcript is spliced from 2 exons. NCBI's taxonomy places the organism in Eukaryota, Metazoa, Chordata, Mammalia, Carnivora, Felidae.